RNAcentral lists this transfer RNA (62 nucleotides) under Monodelphis domestica (gray short-tailed opossum). It matches the Rfam family "tRNA", at positions 6 to 65 of the family's 71-position model. Rfam says of the family: Transfer RNA (tRNA) molecules are approximately 80 nucleotides in length. Their secondary structure includes four short double-helical elements and three loops (D, anti-codon, and T loops). Lineage: Eukaryota; Metazoa; Chordata; Mammalia; Didelphimorphia; Didelphidae. The record is from Rfam by way of RNAcentral.
UUUGGCACAGUAGGUAGAGUGUCAGUAUCACAAGCUGAAAGUCCUGAGUUUGAUCCUCAGAA